RNAcentral lists this ribosomal RNA (253 nucleotides) under uncultured bacterium. RNAcentral describes it as "partial 16S ribosomal RNA". It matches the Rfam family "Bacterial small subunit ribosomal RNA", at positions 524 to 776 of the family's 1533-position model. The record is from RNAcentral.
UACGGGGGGGGCUAGCGUUGUUCGGAAUUACCGGGCGUAAAGGGCGCGUAGGCGGCCUACUAAGUCGGACGUGAAAUCCCUCGGCUCAACCGGGGAACUGCGUCCGAUACUGGUGGGCUCGAAUCCGGGAGAGGGAUGUGGAAUUCCAGGUGUAGCGGUGAAAUGCGUAGAUAUCUGGAGGAACACCGGUGGCGAAGGCGGCUUCCUGGACCGACACUGACGCUGAGGCGCGAAAGCUAGGGGAGCAAACGGG